Long non-coding RNA from Stylophora pistillata, 313 nucleotides. Lineage: Eukaryota; Metazoa; Cnidaria; Anthozoa; Scleractinia; Pocilloporidae. The record is from RefSeq and is a predicted model, not a curated record.
ACUUGAAUAAAGAGGUCUCUCUAGACAAAAGAUUAUUUUUUCCACCAAUGUGCCUUAGGUCAUUAAGUUUUACUAUCAGCAUUUUUCCCUAAGUCUUUAAUCAUAACAAAGCUGAGCUUACUAAAUUAUUAUUUGAUUGUUUUCAGGAGUAGAAAUGCCGGGCGAAGGUCCAGUGUACUGAGUACAUCACAAAUAAUACCUUGCAAGCAUUCAAAGUCAACAUCAUGGCAAGUAGCUUGGAGGAGGGAUCAGUAGAAAUGUUUAUGUAGUAAAUGUUGCCAUAACCGUAAUAAAGACUGAUUGCUGAAGAGAA